GCUGAUUAAACAGGUAUUAGUUCGAUUGGGUGAUAAUUAAUACUUCAAAGACUAGCUCAUUGAAGCCAAUUUGAUCGUUGUUAAAAUCAGUGUUUGUUCAAAGUUCGUUAAACAAGUUUGUGAAUGUCGUUGGGAAAUGCGGUCAAUUUAUUUCUUCUCAUUUCAUUCAUAUAUGCCUCUAUAUAUUCAUUAAAUAGAUGUCAAUGUUGAAAUCUUUGUUUAUUUUGAUCUCUCAACGACGCCAUUUUGUGUAAAAUUUAUUAGACUGGUCCCGCGGAGUUACUUUAAUACAACGGAAAUAAUUCUUUCAAAAAUCGUUAACCAGUCAAUCACGUGAUCCGAAAAGAAAAAUAAGCGGGAAAUUUUAAAAAAUACGAAAAAAAAUAUAGCGACGCGGUUGAACGGGAUAGCGACGCGGUCAGUGCAAUAGGACAGCGGG
Molecule: long non-coding RNA, 439 nt
Filed under: Mytilus galloprovincialis (Mediterranean mussel)
Lineage: Eukaryota; Metazoa; Mollusca; Bivalvia; Mytilida; Mytilidae
Source: RNAcentral